This 21-nucleotide non-coding RNA is filed under the name Caenorhabditis elegans. The record is from RNAcentral. Lineage: Eukaryota; Metazoa; Nematoda; Chromadorea; Rhabditida; Rhabditidae.
UCCUUUUUUGUUGCAUUAUUU